GGCUCAGAUUGAACGCUGGCGGCGUGCUUAACACAUGCAAGUCGCGCGUGAAAGGACUUCGGUCCGAGUAAAGCGGCGCACGGGUGAGUAACGCGUGGAUGAUCUACCCAUGAGUUAGGAAUAACGGCUGGAAACGGUCGCUAAUACCAAAUACGCUCCGAUUUCAACUUCGGGGGAAAGGUGGCCUCUGCUUGCAAGCUACUGCUCAUGGAUGAGUCCGCGUCCCAUUAGCUAGUUGGUGGGGUAACGGCCCACCAAGGCGACGAUGGGUAGCCGGUCUGAGAGGAUGACCGGCCACACUGGGACUGGAACACGGCCCAGACUCCUACGGGAGGCAGCAGUGGGGAAUAUUGCGCAAUGGGCGAAAGCCUGACGCAGCGACGCCGCGUGAGGGAUGAAGGUCCUCGGAUCGUAAACCUCUGUCAGGAGGGAAGAACCGCCGCGGUGCUAAUCAGCCGUGGUCUGACGGUACCUCCAAAGGAAGCACCGGCUAACUCCGUGCCAGCCGCAGC
This 512-nucleotide ribosomal RNA is filed under the name uncultured bacterium. RNAcentral's name for it is "bacterial SSU rRNA". It matches the Rfam family "Bacterial small subunit ribosomal RNA", at positions 21 to 518 of the family's 1533-position model. The record is from RNAcentral.